RNAcentral lists this ribosomal RNA (379 nucleotides) under uncultured bacterium. RNAcentral's name for it is "bacterial SSU rRNA". It matches the Rfam family "Bacterial small subunit ribosomal RNA", at positions 966 to 1342 of the family's 1533-position model. The record is from RNAcentral.
GGACCUUACCUGGCCUUGACAUGGCAGGAACCUUUCAGAGAUGAAGGGGUGCUAGCUUGCUAGAACCUGCACACAGGUGCUGCACGGCUGUCGUCAGCUCGUGUCGUGAGAUGUUGGGUUAAGUCCCGCAACGAGCGCAACCCUCGUCUUUAGUUGCUAACAGUUAGGCUGAGCACUCUAAAGAGACUGCCUCCGUAAGGAGGAGGAAGGUGAGGACGACGUCAAGUCAUCAUGGCCCUUACGGCCAGGGCUACACACGUGCUACAAUGGGGCGUACAGAGAGCUGCAAUACCGCGAGGUGGAGCCAAUCUCUUAAAGCGUCUCUCAGUUCGGAUUGUUCUUUGCAACUCGAGAACAUGAAGCUGGAAUCACUAGUAAU